CCCGCGUCAAUCUGUGUCUGUCGUUGCGCAAGGUCCGUCGCUGUAGCUGGUAGGUUGUAGAGCUUAGUGUAGAACUCCUUGAAUCCUCCUACAAUCUUGUCAGGGAUCUGGGUGAGAGGGCCGCCACGCGUUUUGAUCUUGGUGAUUUGGCACCUCCUCUGCUUUUGUUGGAGCAUCCUCGCCAGCAUGCGGCUACACUUGUUGGAGUAUUCAUUGAAAUGUCGGUUGGACUUACAGAGCGAGUGUGCAAGUUUCUGCGAUAAUAAUUGCUGUAGUUCCCUACGGGUCUCCAUUAGUUCUCGUGUGUGAUUUCUGAGAGGGAGGCCUUGUGUUCCGUCUCGAGUUGGGC
Non-coding RNA from Pelobates cultripes (western spadefoot toad), 349 nucleotides. NCBI's taxonomy places the organism in Eukaryota, Metazoa, Chordata, Amphibia, Anura, Pelobatidae. The record is from the annotation of a GenBank genome assembly.